This 24-nucleotide non-coding RNA is filed under the name Arabidopsis thaliana (thale cress). The record is from RNAcentral. Lineage: Eukaryota; Viridiplantae; Streptophyta; Magnoliopsida; Brassicales; Brassicaceae.
AGCUACCAUACAGUCUGAUCCGAA